CGCACCGAAUCCCACCGAAAUCGGGGGAUUCUGUUACAACCGCACGCAUAGGUAGCCACCUGGUGCUUUGGCCUAUUUAAGCCGCGUUACGGUGCCAUCUAAAGGAGUUUCGUCGAACCGCCAUUAGUGAGGGGGGAAUGGAUCCAGUCCGCCGCCAUUACCACCCACCCACAGCACCGAUUGGUGAUUGAAUAAGCGCCUUGGUAGUUCACCUGUGAGUAUGGGUUCUCCCAAACGAGUCAAUUGGAAACAGGAAACUUCUGGGCGCGUGGAAUUCGUCGACAGAUCCUCACCAUUCGCUCGGGCCGCACUUGCCGGGGUCCUACACCACUACCACAACCAAACAACCGGUAUGAAUAGCACCAAUUGUUUCGUCUUCAUCUCUAUUGCGUGUAGCACUAUUCAGGGGGAAUUGGGGCUCUGGGGUGCUGGCCACGUGUGCGCCGGUGAGCUCCACCGCCGCGGGCAGAUCGGCACCGCGGUCUGGUGCCGCUAGGAAGGAGAAGAUCGUGCUCGCCGUUGAUAUGGUAACAGACGUCUAGGAUUAGAGCUCAAAGUACCCUUUCACGGUUUGAAUCCCAACCGUUGGCGUGUGAUCGGGCGAAUCCGGGCUAAUCUAGGUCAAUUAAAAUCCGAACCACUGAUGAUAGAUCGGAGGGGCGAGGUCGUGUACCGGUUCACAGUUAUGAGCCAACUAAUCUGUGGCGUUAGUGGACGAUCCAACAGCCAAUAUCGCAUACCGGUUCGCGGGGCUUGGGAUCUAAUCUGGGGCGUUGAAAAUAGAUCGCACGGCUAGAAUUCACUGAUAGCCUUCGGCCUACCCUUUUUAACCUAAGAGACCCUCUUCUUUUCGCAAAUAAACCCGCAGUCCGUGUUAAUUGAAAGAGCACUACAACUAGGUCCUUUCUCUUGUUGUUAGGCCCCUGAGUUCUUGGACAAUUGUAUCCCUAGUCCAGAAUUAGUAGGAAUAUUCAUAAUUUAAAUCAGAAAAUGAUUUUCUUUGUAUAAAUAAUUCCAUAUACUUGAUUAGUCCAUAUCUAAUCCAUUUUAAUUCCUUUUUGAUCCAACUCAGUUGCAAUAAAUUCAUGAUAAUAUUGUUUAUUAUCUAGUAACCUAUUUUAGUAUGAAACAUAUGGUUAAAUUUAUGUGCUUGAUUUAUUUUGUACCUAUCACUUAAAACAUAGGAAAAUCAUAACUUGUCCAUUUUAGCUUAGAAUGGACCCGUUCAAAUUGCAGUAGUUUCAUAUAAAUAUUUACUAUGCAUUAACACACAUUAAUUAGACAUACCACAUGGUUUAUAAUUAAAUACUUAUUUAUCCUAUGUCUAGUAAAUUAAUCCAUCUAAUUAAAGUAACAUGUUUAUAAUGUGAAUAAAAGAGGAUCUUUAACUAAGAUAUGACUUAUAAAUAAAGAUUAUCCUUAAUGUAUAUCUCACAUGAUCUAUAAAACCAAUCUAAGGCCCAGUUUUAAUUAUUUAAUCACUACAAUCUUCCGAAAGCCAUAUCCUCUUAAUCGUAACUCCGAUUUUAGUGGUUCUGGAGCCCACGAUCUCGUAGCAAUGGGUAGAUUAUUAUUAUGCGGUUGUUCUUAUGUUUGGUGUGAUGUUAAUUUUUGUCUAUGCACUAUUUGUUUGUAUUUCUACGUUUAGCACUGAGGUCACGAGUCAUCUGAAGAGCAAGUUGGUACCUGGAAUCUCAAGUCCCAGGCAAGUUGUGCCCUUGAUCACUUUUAUUUACCCAAUAAUGUUCUUUAUAAUCAUUUAUUCAUGCAUAGGCUUAAUUUUGAUGGGACCCAAUAGGUCACCCUAGUCUUGUUAUCUUUAUACCUUGUUUAGCCCUGAACUAUUUGGGUAGUUUUUGCUAUUGUUGUAUAUGGUUUUGGGAUUAAUAUUACAUUAUGAUUAUGUUCCAAUUAUACUGUUGUUUUACAUAUUGUUCAUGACAAGAUCAUUAUAUUAAUUGGAACAUGGAGCUUAACUUGAGAAACACGUGCCACCACAAGGGUGGAAUGGGACACCCUUGGCUGACUAAUUAGGAAAGCUAGUGGAAGACUACCUUACCCGAAAGGGGCAAGGGCAGUAGGGGUGUAGGCGUGUACUGAGGUUCUCGAGUUGAUUUUGCUGCGAUGGCGGUCAGACGAGGGAUUCCUACAUCGCUCUUCCUAGAAACUGUAGCGGGUUUUCGGAAGCUAGUGGAACUUUGUAAAGGCCUCGUAGUGGAUCCCUAGUCAUUCACCUCGGAAGUGUCUAAGGGCCUUGCAAACCUUGGCAACAUGGGAUAGACGACUUGUGGGUACAGGGUACAACCUCUACAGAGUGUAAAACUGGUAUACUAGCCGUGCUCGCGGUCAUGAGCAGCUCAGGACUCUCGCAUGAUUAAUUUAUGGAACUAAAUUCAAUUUUUCAUAUGCAUUGCAUCGCGGGUGUUGUUAUAAAUUUUGAUCUAUUAUUACUCUAGUUUGGUAUCUACUUGUCGGGUACCGUAAUUAGGGGUACCCCCAAUGCUCCUUAACAUGUCUGGAAAACAUCCUCAAAACAGACCGUAAAGACCGGUAAGCGCGGUUCAAAGUUGAAACCUCAGGGACGCGAUCUCGUCUCGCCCGAGCCCGGCCUCGGGCAAGAACAAUAGUCCCGAACGGAUUCACGCCUCGCCCGAGGACCUCCUCAGGCAACGGACGCACCCCCGGCUCGCCCGAGGCAAAACUCGGGUAAACUUUGUCGUGUAGCGACCUCGGCCAAAUCGCCUUACCAACCGACCGUAUCGCAUGCGCAUUUAAUGCGGGGAUCGCCUGACACCUUAUCCUGACACGCGCGCCUCAGUCGGCAAGGUUGAAGUGACCGCAGUCACUUCGCCCCUUUACUGAUCGUUCUGACAGGAAAACAACACUAUUCACCCCGUUCCGACUACUGUGCCAACCACCAGGGUAAAACUAACAACAGUAAGUCACGACCUCCCCCGAGUUCAUCCUCGGGCGCAACAGGGAGCUCUGCCUCGCCCUACCUCAGGCCUCGGCCUCAGCCUUGGCCUCAGGAGACGGUCUCCGCCUCGCCCGACCCCAGGCCUCAGCCUCAGCCUCGGCCUCGGGAGAAAGUCUCCGCCUCACCCGACCUCGGGCCUCGGCCUCAGCCUCAGCCACGGGAGGAGUCACAUCCUCGCCCGACCUCAGCCUCAACCUCAGGAGAAGUCUCCGCCUCGCUCGACCUCGGCCUCAAACCAACGACGCCACUGGGGAUACAUCAUUACCCUACCCCUAGCUAGCUGCCUCAGGCUACGAAGGAACAAGACCGGUGUCCCAUCUAGAUUACUCCGGUAACAGGUAAUGAUGGUUCCCUGCGUGCGUCCAUGACGUCGGUUGUUCUCAACUACUCUACGAAAGCAAAGAAACGUCAGCAGGACCCCUGCCGCACCGCCAGCUGUGCUUCUACAGGGCUCAAGUACUUCUCCGCGAGCCACGUUAGCACAUAGCUACACCCCCAUUGUACAGCAGGACCAUCUCCUUGUAUCUAUAAAAGGGGAUGUCCAGGGCCUUCCUAAGGGGGAGACGCAGGCAGAGUGGGAGAAACGCAGAGGAGGCUAACUCAGACAGCUCACCUCAGGGCCGAACCCUCUCCCUCUCUCUCUCGCGACGCUUGUAACCCCUACUACGAGCACCCCGGUGCAAGAUAAUAUAAGCCGUAUCCUCCCUCUCGUGUUCCAUAUUGCAUCAACCCAUCUGAGCAGGGACAUGUAGCGACAAAUUCACUAGUCGGUUGAGGGUCCUCGCGGGUCUGAAACACUGACAGUUGGCGCGCCAGGUAGAGGCCUGCUGCGUGUUGACAAAUACUUUCCCGUUGAGUUCCAGAUGGACAAUCUUCGGCAGCCUCUUCAGCCUGGGACGGUGCUCCGCUUCGGGAGUCUCGAGUUCAUGUCCCGCGACAGCAGCUACAACAUGGUACUCCUCCCCUCGCAGCACGACAACAUCGACGGUCGUCGGCUCGCCCGACGAAGGCGAACUCGACGACGACUUCCCCCCGUGGCGGAAGAGGAACACCCGGGUUCGCCCUGCCACCCUCCUCACCGGAGGAGGAGGAGACGGGGCAACCGUGGCUAGGCAGGAGGCGGCACUUCGUCGGCUGUCGGGCCAGAGCGAGCCGACGACGCCGACACCCCUACGGGGGACAUGUCGGGUGUUGUCCUCACACCUGAGACAACGACGGGUGUCGCUUCCCAGCAACGCACCGACCCCAAGCAGACUGAUGACGCUGGCACCCUUGCGAGGUACUUGUCGGACAUUUGUCUCGCACCUGAGAUAACGACACACUCCGUCCCCGAUGCAACUUCACCAUCGUCCAUCAACCAGGAGGUACCAUCAGUUUUCCACCCUGUUCCCUUUAGAUUUAGCUUCGACCCACCAAGCGACCCCGCUUCAGUGAGCGCUUUCGCAAGGGUGUAUCCUGAUCUUCCAGGGUACCAUAUGUGGUCAACUUAGGACCGACUGGCGGCCGUCUCAACCUCUGGACCUGCGGGUUCUGAGGAAGAAGACGACCCCGACUUCGGUUGGGAUUUCUCCGGACUCCGUGAUCCCAUUGCCAUGCGAGACUUCAUGUCCGCAUGUGACUACUGCCUCUCCGGUUACUCUGACGAUGGCCACAGCCUUGACGACGAGGGUUACGACCCAAGUCGCGAGUGUUUCCACAUCGAUCAGGGGGAUCACGAUGAGGACAACCACCUCGGCAUGCCAGAAAACGACGACGCCCCUACGCCUACGUCUCGCGUUGAGAUCCCGCGGGAGCUAGCUGUGGCCCGAGUCCCUGCGGGGGGUCAGGACACACAGCUCGAGCAACUCCGCAAGAUGCAGGCCAAGCUCGACGAAGAAACGGGGCGACUUGUGCAGCUCCGACAAAACAUCGAGCAAGAGUGGGCAGGUCGAGCACUCGCCGGAGGAGCGCGUCAUCGGGCCCGGGACGUCCAGCGCCGUAUCAUUGACGAUGCCAGGGCAGGGCUGUCCCCAGCCUUCAGUAGGGCCGGCAAGAACCUAGCUGCAGCGGCAAUGCAACUUCGAACAAUGCUGGAGCCAUCCACCACCGAGGGGCAACGUAUCUAGGGCAAACUCAAGGAUCUCCUGGAAAAUGUCGUCGUCCGACGAGCCAAAAGCUCUGCCUCUCGAAGGCGAGGGUGCCCCUCGGAGCAUCGCGCAACGUCCUCCCGACGCAUGCGGAAGGCCUCCAUCCACACCGAGCGCACAGGGGACGGGACGCCUGCAGCCCCAGACCGCCUCGGCAGCGAGCAACACCGCCACGACCGUCGAGCCCGCCUCAAGUAAAGGGUGCGCCGAGGCUACCACCCCAGGCACGGAGGACGCUACGACAGUGAGGAGGAUCGGAGCCCCUCGCCCGAACCACCAGGUCCGCGAGUCUUCAGCCGGGCCAUACGACGGGCGCCGUUCCCGGCCCGGUUCCGAGCCCCGACUACAAUCACCAAGUACUCAGGGGAGACAAGGCCGGAGUUGUGGCUCCCGGAUUACCGGCUGGCGUGCUAGCUGGGAGGGAUGGAUGACGACAACCUCAUCAUCCGCAACCUCCCCCUUUUCCUCUCCGACGCCGCCCGGGCCUGGCUGGAGCAUCUGCCUCCUGCGCAGAUCUUCGACUGGGACAACUUGGUCAAGGCCUUCGCUGGAAAUUUCCAAGGUACGUACGUGCGCCCUGGGAACUCGUGGGAUCUCCGGAGCUGCCGCCAGUAGCCAGGGGAAUCCCUGCGAGAGUACAUCCGGCGGUUUUCAAAGCAGUGCACCGAGUUGCCCAACAUCACCGACUCGGACGUCAUCGGGUCAUUCCUCGCCGGCACCACUUGCUGAGACCUGGUGAGCAAACUAGGGCGUAAGACACCCACCAAGGCGAGCGAAUUGAUGGACAUAGCCACCAAGUUCGCCUCUGGCCAGGAGGCAGUCGAAGCCAUCUUUCGAAAGGACAAGCAACCUCAGGGAAGAGAGAAGGAAGAAGCCCCCGAGGCGUCCGUCCCGCGUGGCACAAAGAAGAAGACCUGGAAGAAGGCGCAAGCAAAACGCGACGCCAUUGACGCGGAUCUUGUUGCUGCUGCCGAGCACAGGAAUCCUCAGAAGCCUCCCGGAGGGGCCAACAUGUUCGACAAGAUGCUCAAGGAGUCGUGCCCCUAUCACAGGGGUCCUGUCAAGCACACCCUUGAAGAGUGUGACAUGCUCCGGCAUUACUUCAAUAAGGCAGGACCCUCGAUAAAAGGUGGCAAGUACCAAGGUAAUGACACGAAGGGGGGUGACAAGGAAGAAGAGUUCCCGGAAGUCCACAACUGCUUCAUGAUCUACGGCGGGCAAGUGGCGAAUGCUUUGGCUCGACACCGCAAGCAGGAGCGCCGGGAGGUCUGCUCGGUGAAGGUAGCAGCGCCGGUCUACCUAGACUGGUCCGACAAGCCCAUCACCUUCGACCAAGGCGACCACCCCGACUACGUACCAAGCCCAGGAAGGUACCCGCUCGUCGUCGACCCUGUCAUCGGCAACGCUAGGCUCUCCAAGGUCCUCAUGGACGGAGGCAGCAGUCUCAACAUCAUCUACGCCGAGACCCUAGGGCUCUUGGGGAUCGAUCUGUCCACAAUCCGGGCCGGUGCAGCACCUUUUCAUGGGAUUGUCCCCGGCAAGCGUGUCCUGCCCCUUGGCCAACUCGACUUACCCAUCUGCUUCAGAACUCCCUCCAACUUCCGAAAGGAAACCCUCACUUUCGAGGUUGUCGGGUUCCGAGGGACCUAUCACGCGGUGCUGGGAAGAUCGUGCUACGCCAAGUUCAUGGCCGUCCCCAACUACACGUACCUCAAGAUCAAGAUGCCAGGCCCCAAGGGAACCAUCACCGUCGGCUCCAUGUACCGCCACGCUUACGAGUGCGACGUGGAAUGCAUGGAGUGCGCUGAGGCCAUCGCCGAGUCCGAGGCCCUCAUCGCCGACCUGGAUUGCCUCUCCAAAGAGGCGCCUGAUGCGAAGCGCCACGCCGGCAACUUCGAACCAGCCAAGGCGGUUAAGUCCGUCUCUCUCGACCCCAGCAAUGACGCCGACAAGAAAGUUAGGAUCGGCUCCGAGCUCGACCCCAAAUAGGAAGCAGUGCUCGUCGACUUUCUCCUUGCAAACACCGAAAUUUUUGCGUGGAGUCCCUCGGACAUGCCCGGCAUACCGAGGGAUGUCGCCGAGCACUCGCUGGACAUCCGAGCCGGUGCCCGACCCGUGAAGCAGCACCUACUCUGUUUUGAUGAAGAAAAGCGCAGGGCCAUAGGCGAGGAGGUCCACAAGCUAAUGGCUGCAGGGUUCAUCAAAGAGGUAUUCCAUCCAGAAUGGUUAGCUAACCCUGUGCUUGUAAGGAAAAAAGGUGGGAAAUGGAGGAUGUGUGUAGACUACACUUGGUUAAAUAAAGAAUGUCCAAAGGUUCCCUACCCUCUGCCUCACAUCGAUCAAAUUGUGGACUCCACUGCUGGGUGCGAAACCCUGUCUUUCCUCGAUGCCUAUUCAGGCUAUCACCAAAUCAAGAUGAAAGAAUCCGACCAGCUCGCAACUUCUUUUAUCACACCUUUUGGUAUGUAUUGUUAUACUACUAUGCCAUUUGGCUUGAGGAAUGCAGGUGCAACAUACCAAAGGUGCAUGAACCACGUGUUCGGAGAGCACAUCGGCAGAACGGUCGAGGCUUACGUCGAUGACAUCGUUGUCAAAACAAGGAAAGCCUCCGACCUCCUCUCUGACCUUGAGAUAACAUUCAGGUGUCUAAGAGCGAAGGGCGUAAAACUCAAUCCUGAGAAGUGUGUCUUCGGGGUCCCUCGAGGCAUGCUCCUAGGGUUCAUCGUCUCCGAACGAGGCAUCGAGGCCAACCCGAAGAAAAUCGCGGCCAUCACCAACAUGGGACCCAUCAAAGAUUUAAAGGGAGAUACAAAGGGUCAUGGGAUGCCUUGCGGCUCUGAGCCGCUUCAUCUCGUGCCUUGGCGAGAAAGGAUUGCCCUUGUACCGCCUCUUAAGGAAGGCCGAGCGCUUUACUUGGACUCCCGAGGCCGAAGAAGCCCUCGGAAACCUUAAAGCACUCCUUACUAAUGCGCCCAUCUUGGUGCCCCCCGCUGCGGGAGAAGCCCUCUUGAUUUACGUAGCCGCAACCACUCAGGUGGUCAGCGCCACGGUCGUAGUCGAGAGACGAGAAGAAGGGCAUGCACUGCUCAUCCAGAGGCCAGUCUACUUCAUCAGCGAGGUGCUAUCUGAGACCAAGAUCCGCUACCCACAAAUCCAGAAGCUACUGUACGCGGUAAUUCUAACACGGCGAAAGCUGUGACACUACUUCGAGUCUCAUCCGGUGACUGUGGUGUCAUCCUUCCCCCUGCGAGAGAUCAUCCAGUGCCGAGAGGCCUCGGGUAGGAUAGCGAAAUGGGCAGUGGAACUCAUGGGCGAAACACUUUCAUUCGCCCCUCGGAAGGCCAUAAAAUCUCAAGUCUUGGCAGACUUCCUGGCUGAAUGGGUCGACACCCAAUUGCCAACAGCUCCAAUCUAGGCCGAACUUUGGACCAUGUACUUCGAUGGGUCGCUUAUGAAAACCGGAGCGGGUGCUGGCUUGCUCUUCAUUUCACCCCUCGGGAAACAUGUGCGCUACGUUAUACGCCUCCAUUUUUCGGCGUCAAACAACAUGGCCGAAUACGAGGCCUUGUUUAAUGGGUUGCGCAUCGCCAUCGAGCUAGGGGUUCGGCGCCUCGAUGCUCGUGGCGACUCGCAGCUUGUUAUUGACCAAGUCAUGAAGAACUCCCACUACCACGAUCGAAAAAUGGAGGCCUACUGCGACAAAGUUCGGCGCUUGGAAGAUAAGUUCUACGGGCUGGAACUCAACCAUGUUGCUCGACGGUACAACGAGACUGCGGACGAGCUGGCUAAAAUAGCCUCGGGACGGACGACGGUUCCCCCGAACGUCUUCUCCAAGGACAAAUAUCAACCAUCCGUCAAAAUUGACGACGCGCCCGAAACCGAGGAAACCUCGGCCGCCGAGGGUGAGGCCCUGCGCGUCGAGGGAGAGCAGAAUGGGGUUACGCCAAACUCGAACUGGCAGACCCCGUACCUAGAAUAUCUCCUCCGAGGAGAGCUGCCCCUCGACAAGGCCGAAGCUCGGCGACUGGCUCGGCGCGCCAAGUCAUUCGUUUUACUGGGUGAUUAAAAAGAGUUGUACCACCGCAGCCCCUCAGGCAUUCUCCAACGAUGCAUAUUCAUCGCCCAAGGACAAGAGCUGUUACAAGAAAUACACUUGGGGGCUUGCGGUCACCAUGCAGCACCUCGGGCCCUCGUGGGAAACGCUUUCCGACAAGGUUUCUACUAGCCGACCGCGGUGGCCGACGCCACUAGGAUUGUACGCUCCUGCCGAGGGUGUCAAUUCUACACGAGACGGACACACCUGCCCGCUCAGACCCUACAGACAAUACAUAUCACUUGGUUGUUUGCCAUAUGGGGUCUGGACCUCGUCGGUCCCUUGCAGAAGGCACCCGGGGGCUUCACGCACCUGCUGGUCGCCAUCGACAAAUUCUCCAAGUGGAUCGAAGUCCGACCCUUAACCAACAUUAGGUCCGAGCAGGCGGUGGCGUUCUUCAUAAAUAUCAUCCAUCGCUUUGGGGUCCCAAACUCCAUCAUCACCGAUAAUGGCACGCAGUUCACUGGGAAAAAGUUCCUAGACUUUUGCGAAGGCCGCCACAUCCGUGUGAACUGGGCCACCGUGGCUCACCCAAUGACAAAUGGGCAGGUGGAGCGCGCCAAUGGCAUGAUUUUGCAGGGACUAAAACUGAGGAUCUACAAUGACCUCAACAAGUUUGGCAAGCGGUGGAUAAAAGAACUACCCUCGGUAGUUUGGAGCCUGAGGACGACGCCGAGCCGGGCCACGGGCUUCUCGCCAUUUUUCCUAGUCUAUGGGGCCUGUCACACCCGGUUUUGAAGGUAAACCGAAUGCGAACCAUUUAUGUGCCAGGAUCAGUAAUUCACGUACACAGCGAUUACAUAAAUGACUCAUCAUAGCACAAUGCUUCGAAUUACAAUAAAGAGUAAGUAAUAAUAUUACAAACUAGAGUCAUUUACAUAAUAUAAAUCAAAGUACACAUAAUCGAAACGUAGCCAACGUAAACAACCCACCACAGGCAGCUGACGGGGGGAGGUCGCUAGCCUAAUCCUCGAACUCGUCGACGUCAUGGAACUCCUGGAGAUCCGCCUCGACGCCUUGUUUACCUGAGCAUAGAUUGCACCAAAGGCAACCUGGUGUUCUGUGAAAGCAAGGGUGAGUACACAUCAACGUACUCAGCAAAUGUCCCGUUUGGUUGUAGUGGACUAGCUUUAUGUGGGGUUAAGUCAAGCAGUUGCUUUUAGUUGGUCAGGUUAUUAUUACAAGUCCUUACGGAGAUGAUGGAGUUAACGGCACGACGGCUAAGCGAACUACACCCCGGUUCCUCUAAUUAUUCAGCUAAGGGCAUCCCAUUCCACCCUCAUGGUUGCACUGUUUUCCCGGGCGGUCAUCCAACGAACAGGUCCUUACGGAGAGGCACUCGAGAAACCGCUCGAGCCCCCUUAAAUGACACAUGUAUAACAUCAUAAUAAAGAAGGGAAACAUCGUAUCAUUGAUAAAUCUCAUCAUGUUCAUUGAUUAGAGUUGAGCAAUAGCAUAAAGCUAAACAAUAAUAACCCAAAAGGUAAUCAAGGACAAGGUAAAUACAAAGCUAGUCAAUCCUUAGGUUGAUCAUGGUAUGCGGGUUGAUGAAUUAUAAAGUAAAUGGGACAUAAUAGGUCAGAGGACACUUGCCUUCACCAAACAGAUGCUCAGGGUCUUCGAUCUCGUAGAACUCAAAGAGUUCGAUCACUUGGUCGCCAUGCUUGAUCGUCGAUUCCUCGAAGCUCAGAAACGAAUCACGAUCUAAUCGCAACGCAAAGUGAAGACGAACAGGCACAAGCAAACAAACAUAUACAUGUGCAUAAGAACAUUACACCAUACAAGAUAAAAUGUUAUAAAAGCGAGCAAUAUAAAAUAGAGAGCGCCUCUACGGUUACGCGAGGAAAAGAACCACGAUAGUCGAAGAUACGGUCGAGGGGUUAGCGUGUUUACGUUAAACAAGUACUAAUUAGAACAUCCAAUUCAACAUAAUUAUAUUAAUUGAUAUUAAUCAAAUGUAAAUUAAUACUACUACUUAGUUUUGACUAACUUACUAUUUUAAUAGUUGACAGUUAAGCAAGUAACUUAAUGAAUAUGAGCGAUUCUAAGCGAGACGAAUUAACGACGCACGACGUGCAAACACGAUGUGUGCAAUGCGCUGACACAAACGACAUAGCGCGUGGACAACGCGCGAUACGCGCGAACGGCAUGCGGCAAGGCGCGCGACACAUGCGAACGGCACACGACAACGCGUGCGAACAACACGUGCGACACUCGCGAACGACACGCGACGACAUGCGCGAAACAGCACCGCGACACGCGCGAACCGACAUGCGAAACUAAUAAAUAAAUAACGUGAUUAAACUAAAUAAUUAUUAAUAAAUAACAUUUCAGUUAAGGAUAAUCAUAUUGGUGACUAAUUAUAAAUGCGCAAAUCGAAUUCCUAAAUUAGGUUUUUAAAUUAAAACGUCGUUCUAGUAGCCACUGGUUAGACAAACGUUUAACUAAAUUAAAUAAAAUGUGUAAAAAUUGGGAUAAAUAUUUCUAAAUUAAGAUAAUUUUAAUACGAAUCUAACACAACUUGAAUGGAUCGAAUCGGGUUUAAAACGCAAAAGUUAUGAAUAUUUUAAACCAUACUGUAAUUCGUGUGGACUAAAUUUACGAGAUUGUCAUCGUCUUCUUCCUUUUUUUCAUCUUCUUCCUCUCAUCCAUGGAAGAGAGAGGAGAGGAAGGGGAGGGGGCUGCGCAGAGGAGGACGAGGUUGGGCCGGCCGGGGGUGGGCGCGGCCGCACAGGGCGCGAGGGGCGCGGCCACCGCUCCCGAGGAGGGGUGCGCGCGGGCGUGGGGCGCGGGAGCGCGAGCGCCGCCGUCGGCCACCGCCGCCACCGCCGGGGAGGAGAAAAGGGGCGCCGCCGGGGAGGGGAAACAGAGGAGGAAGGGGCGCCGCCGUCGGGGAAGGUGAGGGGAGAGUGGGAGAUGCUCUGCACGGACGGGAAAACGAAGAAACGAAAAAACUCUAGAUGCAACAAUGGAGGUUUCUCACCGGGGAAGAAGACCCUCGCCGGAGCCGAAGCCAAAUCAGUCGAUUGCCAGAGAUUCGGGGGUCCAAUCGACGAACCGAACGCGCUGCAACGAAGCCCUCGACGAGACGAACGCAGCGGUACCCUCGGAUUCCGCAGACGAUGCAUGGAUUGGGAGUAAUUGCUCGCCGGAGUUGGAACCGCCCCGAACUUCGGCGAGCAAUACCGGGAGCUAGGGAUUAGAUUUAGAGAAAACAUUUCGUGUUCUGGAACGGGCUCGACGAGAUGAAGCCGGACAUGUAUAUAUACCUAGGGUUUGGACGAGAUAAAAAUUCGGUUAAAAUUCAGAUUUUACUAUUUUUAAAAUUUGAAAAAAGCCUAGAAAUCCAUAUUUUGUGCUCAAAAUAUUAUAGAUACUUUUAAAAAUUCCAGAAAAAUUCCUAUAAAUGUUUUGGCACCUAAUAAACUCAAAAAACAUAAUUAGAAUUUCUAAAACAUUUUUAAGUUCCACAAAUAAAUAGAUUUUGGUUUCUGGAAAAUAGAAAAAUAUUCCGAAAAAUAUGAAAAUUUACCGAGCGCUUCUAUAAGAUAUGUUAACAUAUUUCAAACACAUUUUGCACUUAGAAACACCAUGCAACGACAUGAAUGCAACAACCAAAGUGCCUCUAGGGCUUAUUCCACUAGGUUUACGCUAAUAUAAAACAAAAUAAUUCUCCAUUUUUAGGGAAAAGAGAAAGGAAAGCGAAGAACUGAGAGAGUAACACCUAAAUUUGGUGGAUAUUAGGAAAUAAAUUUUAUACCCCCAAAUUCAGGGUGUUACAAAUCUAACCCCCUUAACAGAAUCUCGUCCUCGAGAUUCAAGAAGAGGCUAGCAAGAAAAUGAGAUUGGUUCAUUAGUCUUUCAUAGCUUUUUUCUAACUCAACUUUGACUCCGCCGGCUUGACUUGUGGAUUGGUUGCUUUGACCAUCAGAUGCUUGAGACCGAUUGAUGCAAUUCUUGAGGAUCUCCUAGGCCUGUGGGUUAGGACCCACACACGCUUUCGCUGCGCCAUUCGGAUCUUGUUGGUUGAUGUUGAUUGCAUUGUCUUCAUUGGGGUUAGCGGCUAACCCCCUUAACAAGAGCAUUGAUACACACUUGAUGAAGAUGUCGUCAACUCUAAUCUUGACUGAUUAAGAGAGGUUAUAGGAUGCCAACCGGACAGGUGCAAAAGGGAAGAGUAUAGAUAGAAAAGGUAAGAUAGAAAAGGUAAGCAUAGAUGGCUUAAAGAGAGGGAAGAGAGAGCACCAACUACCUAACUCUACGGCACUCAGCUAGUAAACUGAUGUCACUGCGGACCAAGGGCCACAACACAUCAACACUCAUUUCAAAGAAGCAAAUCAGUCAUACCACAAAGACAAUCACCAUGAGAACACAACAACAAACAUCUCGGUGCUAUACGUUCCUUUUAAGUACAUGGUGGUCUUUCUUGAAAAGGGAAUAACUACUCUCUAAGGUUGUCGAAAGACGAGGAGAAGAACAAGACGUGCAGGAUAGGGGCACGAACACCAUAAAGGAUGGAGUUAAAGCAAGGAUUGUAAUCGACAAGGGAGAAAAUGCAACCAAGGGCAGGGUAGGUAAACACCAUUCUCAAAUCGAGAUGGGAAAGAUGAUAAUUCAAAAGGUAGGCAUAAGAUAAGCAUUAUGGAAAGAUCUAGUGAUGACAAAGGUACAAGAGGUAAAAGGCAAAAGCACACCAAAAGAUCGAGUCAAGACAAGUCUUGCAACACGACAGAGGAAUAGCGAACGAACAAGAGCGGGGAGGGGUAAGACAACACUCUUGAAAUGAAAUGGGAGAGGAGGCUUUAAAAUGUAGGUGCAAGAUAAGCAUCAUGGUAAAGAUCAAGGGAUGACAAGGGUUAAGGUGAUAACAGACAAACACAACCAAGGAUGUAUUUUAGACAAAACUUGUGAGGCGUCAAAGAAGGGGAAGCAAUCAAUGGUGAAGUAGGUGAGGCAUUAUCCUCAAACAGCGAUGAAAAAGAAGAGGCUUUAAAGGGUAGGUUCAAGAUAAGCAUGAGGGCAAGGGCAUAGAUAUCACGAGGGUUUAAAGGUGAUAACGGACAAGGAUGUAGGAGAGGAGGUAAAUGCGCAUAAUAACUAAGGAUAUAAGUACCACAGAGGAUGGAGUUAAGACAAGACCUGCAGAUGAAAAAGAAGGAGGUACGUCCAAUGGCCAGAUAGGUAAACAACCACUCUCCAAUCGAGGUGGAAGAGAGGAGAUUUUAAAGAGCAAGAAUAAAGAUUAGUAUCAAGGCAAGAUCGAUGGAUGACAAGGAGGUGGUGAUAGCAAAUAAAACACAUAGCAAAGGAUGGAAUUGAAACAAAACUUGUAAGGCAACAAGAAGUGAAAAGAAAUCAAGGGAGAGGUAGGUAACUCGCAACUCUCAAACUGGGUUGAAAGAAAGGGGAGGAUUUAAAGGAUAAGUUUAAGGUAAGCAUUUAGGUAGAAGACAUAAAUAUCGCAAGGGCCAAAGGCGAUAACGGACAAGGGUGUAAGAGAAAAGAUAAAGGCAUAGAAGAGCAAGUGGUACAAAUACAAUAACGAAUGGAGUUAAGUCUAGGCCUACACGCGGUAAAGAAGAGGAUAUAGUCAAGGGUGAGAUAAGUAAAACAUAUCUCUCGAAUUGAGAUAAAAAAGAGGGGAUUUCAACAAGCAGACCUAAGAUAAGUAUCAAGGCAAGAUCUAUAGAUUACAAAGGUAAGGAUGAUAUCAAACAAAAGCUCAACAAAGGAUGAAGUUAAGGUAAGACAAGACUUGCAAAGCGACAAAGGGAAAGGAAACGAACAAGAGCAGGAUAGGGAAAAUAACACUCUCGGAUUGAAUGGAAUAAGUGAGGCUAAGAAAUAGGUAAACAUCAUGGUAAAUAUGGAGAGAGGUCAAGGGUCAAAGGUGAUAAUAGGCAAGGAUAUAAAGGAAGAGGUAAAUGUGCAUAAAAACAAGGAAUCUAGGUACAACCAAGAAUAGAGAUAAGAUAAGUCUUGCAAGAGGUAAAGUAUAGGAUAUAACCACGGGUGAGAUAAGUAAGAGACCACGCUUGAACUAAGGUGGGAGAUUGGAGGUUUUAGAUAACGAACAUAGCGUACUCACCAAGGUAAGAUUGAGAGAUGAGAAUGGUAAAGGCAAUAAGAAGCAAAAGCACAACAAAGGAUGAGGUUACAAACUCGCGAGCCAAAGAAGAGGAUAUGACCAAGAGAAAGAAGGUAUGAGACGGAAGAGGGGCGAUUUUAAAGGGCAGGUAUGAGACAAACAUCAAUGUAGGAUAUAGAGGUGUCAAGGGUGCAUAUGAUAAUAAUUAAAAGCAUAACAAAGGAUAUAGUUAAGGCAACACUCGUGAAACGACAAAGUGGAGAAAACAAUCAAGGGUAAGAUAGGUAAGGUUCCAACAUAAGAGUUGAAGUAAAGAUUCAUUACCGAGUGGAGUUACAAGGAGACAACGAGAUCACCAAGGAUAUGCAAAGUAGAAUGACCGCUCAUGGAUCAUUAAGAAACAAGGGUGGUCAAGGGCAUGUUAACUGAAAUGUCUCAAACAGAUAUUGGGAUAUAAAGGUAAGCAUAUAUAAAAAUAAGAGUAUGCAAGAUUCCAAUGGUACGAGCAUACCAAGACCAAGAAAGUACAAAUUGCCAAAAAGAUAGCGACUUAUCAAUAGAAUAGGAAAGGGUCUCAAAAGACAGUAAGAUCAUGGACAUAUAAACUGAAAUGUUUAAAUAGGCAGUGGAGGUACAAGGGUAAGUGCUUUAGAUUAAGGGUAAGGGUAUUAAAAAUGCAAGGAUACGAGCAUGUCAAUAACAAAAUGGAAUAGAGAUGGUCAAAUAGUAGCAAUUUAAUAAUGGAUGAGGAAAGAGUCCCAAAAGACUAAAGGCUAUGGUAGGGGGCAUCUACAAAGAUGUCGCAAGCACAAGAUGAGAUCAGAUCUAAUAGAUUGAUAGAAGUAUAGACCAUACUAGAAUAAAAUACUUUUUGGCAAGGGGGCAUAUAGGAGCACAACAUAGAAUUAGUCGAGGUGACUAAUAUUUUGAAGCAGAAUCAAGGAUGAGAUGAAGUAAUAAUCAAUAAGUCCUUAAAACGGCCAAUGCUACUCUAGGUCAGCGGUCCUAUAGUCAGCACGGCUUUGAUACCACUUAUGUCACACCCGGUUUUGAAGGUAAACCGAAUGCGAACCAUGUACGUGCCAGGAUCAGUAAUUCACGUACACAGCGAUUACAUAAAUGACUCAUCAUAGCACAAUGCUUCGAAUUACAAUAAAGAGUAAGUAAUAAUAUUACAAACUAGAGUCAUUUACAUAAUAUAAAUCAAAGUACACAGAAUCGAAACGUAGCCAACGUAAACAACCCACCACAGGCAGCUGACUGGGGGAGGUCGCUAGCCUAAUCCUCGAACUCGUCGACGUCCUGGAACUCUUGGAGAUUCGCCUCGACGCCUUGUUUACCUGAGCAUAGAUUGCACCAAAGGCAACCUGGUGUUUUGUGAAAGCAAGGGUGAGUACACAUCAACGUACUCAGCAAAUGUCCCGUUUGGCUGUAGUGGACUAGCUUUAUGUGGGGUUAAGUCAAGCAGUUGCUUUUAGUUGGUCAGGUUAUUAUUACUAGUAGAAAGCCAGGUUUUAGCAUUAACCCAAGUUCUUAACCCAAAGUACCCUUUCCAAAUUGAAAGAAUACCACUUACCAUUACCAUAAGCAUGAUCAUAACCAUCCUCAUCAUCAUCUAUAAACCAACCAUCUCUGAUUAAAGUGUCUCUAAUCAAUGGAGCUCCCUUGGCCGCUCAUAACCGCGAGCACGACUGAUAUAUCAGUUUCAUAACACUCUGCAGAGGUUGCGCACUUUACCCACAAGUGGUGAUUCCCUCUUGCCUCGGGCCGAUCAAACCCUUAAACACUACCAAGGUGAAUAGGCAGGGUUUCACUACGUAGCCUUUACAAAGAUUCCUCGAGGCUGUAGCCGCCCGUUAGGUUUCCUAAAUGCACCGCACUCCUCCCCAAGGGGCGAACCAAACUUGGCAGAGCGAGCCACAUAUACCGAGCCCCAUUAACGGCACGACGGCUAAGCGAACUACACCCCGGUUCCUCUAAUUAUUCAGCUAAGGGCAUCCCAUUCCACCCUCAUGGUUGCACUGUUUUCCCGGGCGGUCGUCCAACGAAUAGGUCCUUACGGAGAGGCACUCGAGAAACCGCUCGAGCCCCCUUGAAUGACACAAGUAUAACAUCAUAAUAAAGAAGGGAAACAGCGUAUCAUUGAUAAAUCUCAUCAUGUUCAUUUAUUAGAGUUGAGCUAAACAAUAAUAACCCAAAAGGUAAUCAAGGACAAGGUAAAUACAAAGCUAGUCAAUCCUUAGGUUGAUCAUGGUAUGCGGGUUGAUGAGUUAUAAAGUAAAUGGGACAUAAUAGGUCAGAGGACACUUGCCUUCACCAAACAGAUGCUCAGGGUCUUCGAUCUCGUAGAACUCAAAGAGUUCGAUCACUUGGUCGCCAUGCUUGAUCGUCGAUUCCUCGAAGCUUAGAAACGAGUCACGAUCUAAUCGCAACGCGAAGCGAAGACGAACAGGCACAAGCAAACAAACAUAUACAUGUGCAUAAGAACAUUACACCAUACAAGAUAAAAUGUUAUAAAAGCGAGCAAUAUAAAAUAGAGAGCGCCUCUACGGUUACGCGAGGAAAAGAACCACGAUAGUCGAAGCUACGGUCGAGGGGUUAGCGCGUUUACGUUAAACAAGUACUAAUUAGAACAUCCAAUUCAACAUAAUUAUAUUAAUUGAUAUUAAUCAAAUGUAAAUUAAUACUACUACUUAGUUUUGACUAACUUACUAUUUUAAUAGUUGACAGUUAAGCAAGUAACUUAAUGAAUAUGAGCGAUUCUAAGCGAGACGAAUUAACGACGCACGACGUGUAAACACGAUGUGCGCAAUGCGCGGACACAAACGACUUAGUGCGUGGACAAUGCGCGAUACGCGCGAACGGCACGCGGCAAGACGCGCGACACACGCGAACGACACACGACAACGCGUGCGAACAACACGCGCGACACUCGCGACGAGACGCGACGACGUGCGGGAAACAGCACCGCGGCACGCGCGGACCGACAUGCGAAACUAAUAAAUAAAUAACGUGAUUAAACUAAAUAAUUAUUAAUAAAUAACAUUUCAGUUAAGGUUAAUCAUAUUGGUGACUAAUUAUAAAUGCGCAAAUCGAAUUCUUAAAUUAGGUUUUUAAAUUGAAACGUCGUUCUAGUAGCCACUAGUUAAACAAACGUUUAACUAAAUUAAAUAAAAUGUGCAAAAAUUGGGAUAAAUAUUUUUAAAUUAAGAUAAUUUUAAUACGAAUCUAACGCAACUUGAAUGGAUCGAAUCAGGUUUAAAACGCAAAAGUUAUGAAUGUUUUAAACUAUACUGUAAUUUGUGCGGACUAAAUUUACGAGACUGCCAUCGUCUUCUUCCUCUUUUCAUCUUCUUCCUCUCAUCCAUGGAAGAGAGAAGAGGAAGGGGAGGGGGCUGCAUAGGGGAGGACGAGGUUGGGCCGGCCGCACGGGACGCGAGGGGCGCGGCCACCGCUCCCGGUGAGGGGUGCGCGCGGGCGUGGGGCGCGGGAGCGCGAGCGCCGCCGUCGGCCACCGCCGCCACCGCCGGGGAGGGGAAAAGGGGCGCCGCCGGGGAGGGGAAACAGAGGAGGAAGGGGCGCCGCCGCCGGGGAAGGUGAGGGGAGAGUGGGAGAUGCUUUGCACGGACGGGAAAACGAAGAAACGAAAAAACUCUAGGUGCAACAAUGGAGGUUUCUCACCGGAGAAGAAGACCCUCGCCGGAGCCGAAGCCAAAUCAGUCGAUUGCCGGAGAUUCGGGGGUCCAAUCGACGAACCGAACGCGCUGCGACGAAGCCCUCUACGAGACGAACGCAGCGGUACCCUCGGAUUCCGCAGACGUUGCACGGAUUGGGAGUAAUUGCUCGCCGGAGUUGGAACCGCCCCGAACUUCGGCGAGCAAUACCGGGAGCUAGAGAUUGGAUUUGGAGAAAACGUUUCGUGUUCUGGAACGGGCUCGACGAGAUGAAGCCGGACAUGUAUAUAUACCUAGGGUUUGGACGAGAUAAAAAUUCGGUUAAAAUUUGGAUUUUACUAUUUUUAAAAUUCAAAAAAAGCCUAGAAAUCCAUAUUUUGUGCUCAAAAUAUUAUAGAUACUUUCAAAAAUUCCAGAAAAAAUCCUAUAAAUGUUUUGGCACCUAAUAAACUAAAAAAAACAUAAUUAGAAUUUCUAAAAAUAUUUUUAAGUUCCACAAAUAAAUAGAUUUUGGUUUCUGGAAAAUAGAAAAAUAUUCCGAAAAAUAUGAAAAUUUACCGAGCGCUUCUAUAAGAUAUGUUAACAUGUUUCAAACACAUUUUGCACUUAGAAACACCAUGCAACGACAUGAAUGCAACAACCAAAGUGCCUUUAGGGCUUAUUCCACUAGGUUUACGCUAAUAUAAAACAAAAUAAUUCUCCAUUUUUAGAGAAAAGAGAAAGGAAAGCGAAGAACUGAGAGAGUAACACCUGAAUUUGGUGGAUAUUAGAAAAGAAAUUUUAUACCCCCAAAUUCAGGGUGUUACAGGGCCGAGGCCAUCUUACCCACAGACUUGGAAUACGGUUCCCCGAGGACAAAGGCAUACGACGACCAAAACAACCAGACCAGUCGAGAGGAUUCAUUGGACCAGCUGGAAGAGGCUCGGGACGUAGCCUUACUACACUCGGUGCAGUAUCAGCAGUCUCUGCGACGCUACCACGCCCGAAGGGUUCGGCCCUGAGGCUUCCAAGUGGGAGACUUGGUACUUCGGCUGCGACAAGACGCCCGAGGGCGCCACAAGCUUACUCCUCCCUGGGAAGGGCCAUUCAUCAUCGCCAAGAUUUUGAAGCCCGGGACAUACAAGCUGGCCAACGAUCGAGGCGAAGUCUACAGCAACGCUUGGAACAUCCAACAUCUACGUCACUUCUACCCUUAAAAUGUUUCAAGUCGUUCAUGUAUCUCGCUUUCUUUACGUGUAUAAAUAAAGUCUAACCGUCAAGGGAGGAUCGGCCUUGCCUCAGCAAAAACCGAACCUCCCUCGGGGGCUAAAAGGGGGGAACCCCCUCUGCGUCAAAAUUUUCCUCGGAAAAGUUUUCCGCCAAAACGACUUUCGUGCUUUUCGAUUAUAUCGAUAACGGAAUCCUAAAAACGAUGAGAGGAACCUUAAACGGCAAGGCCGACCGAGCCGAGGGACUCCUACGCCUCUGGGAUACGGAUACCUCACUCAUCACCUUCCGCGAAAAGUAACUCACGCUCAGAUAAGUGAUUCUGCUACCGACGAACAAGUCCUAACGCACGAAACAAGAGGAAAGAAAACACAACUUUAUACUCUGACGCUAAAAAUGAUUAGGCCUCAGCGGCCGCGAGAAACAUACGCAUACUUAAAACAAAUUGUUCCUACAGGCUCAGGUAUCGGCAGGGGGAGGAGCAGCACCCUCGGCGUCGUAUCCACCCUCGGCAGAAUCUGGCCCGGCCUCAGACGGCGACACGGGCGGAAGGAUCUCCACCUCAAAGGAGGAAGCCAGCGCCGCGCUUGGGCCCUCGACAGCCGCGUCAAGCCUCUGGACCUCGGCUAAGGCGGCCUCCUCUUCAUCGGGUAAGCAGUACCCCUCGCUGACCCGCUCCAGAUCCACGUCGUAGUGGGAAGCGAGGAUGACGAAGGCCCGCCUAACGCCGUGGUGCAGUGCCCCGCGGAGUCUGCUGCGCACAUGGCCGCCCAAGGCCCGCAGGUGACUCUGGGGGGAGCUACCCGAGGGGACGUCGUCGAGGCCAAAGGCAUGGCAAAAAGCCGAGAUAGCCUCGGACAUGGCCAUGCGGUCGGCCUCCUUCUGCUCAGCCGCCUGGGCAAGCGUCUUGCAGUUCUUGACGGACUCGUUAAGAGCCGUCUCGAACCCUAUAGACAGCUGGACAAUGUUCUUCAGACACAAGGAGAAGAAUGAAGUCAAAAGCAGAAUCACUUAUACGAGCAAGAGAGACUUUGAACGGCAAGGCCGGCCGAGCCAAGGGACUCCUACGCCUCCGGGAUACGGAUACCUCACUCGUCACCUUCCGUGAAAAGUAACUCGCACUCGGAUAAGUGGUUCUGCUACCGACGAACAAGUCCCAAUGCUCGAAAUAAGAAAGAAACACGACUUUAUACUCAAAUACCCAAAUGUUCAGGCCUCAGCAGCCACAGAGAACAAACACACAUACUUAGGGUAACUGUGGUACCUAGACUUAGACGUCGGCAGCACCCUCGGUGGUUUUCCCGACCUGCGGCAGAUGUCUUAGUACUUAAAGCUAUUACAUUUUGCUCUCAGGCAAAUACCAUUACAUUCCCUUACAAACGGGACUCCAGCUCCAUUCCCUCAGGAAUGAACUACCUCCACACCAGAGGGGAUGCGAGAUAACAAACUCCAAGCGGCUCGCCGGCGACCACUGCACCAGCAACGACAACGACCUCCGCCUCGGGCGGCUAGAUAGCAGUAGAGAUUGCCUCAGGGCAAACGCUACUGUGAAAAGGCUCUCGCCCACGUCCCCCUACGAGGGACGAGAACCAGCCAUUAAAGCCAAAGAGCCGGAGGUCCGACCGCAGGUGGCACUGACGGUCUCGUCGGCGGAGGCAACCGCUUCUGCAGGGGGAAGCCUCACCUAUGGCGACCACCACCUCAGCACCGACGACAGCGGCCACCUGCGCGCCAACGCCACACCGGCGAAUGGCGGCCGCCCCAGUGCGCACCGGCAAGUCCUCACUCCCGUCCUCGCCACAGGAGCGAGGACAAGACUAUCCAAGAACACGAACACCGCCCUCGCGGUGUACGACGUGUUGUGCGACCCCCCGGUGCGGCCGGCGGUGCGGGAAGGGCCAUGGACAUGGCCGGCCUGCGCACGACGCGACCGUCGCCCGUGCGGUGGACGGACAGCCACACCCUGACCAGGCAGCACGUGGCAGUUCGCCUCCUUCGUAAGGCUGGUGAACGCCCUUCUCCCCUGAAUGUUGGAGGAAGAAGCGGGUCGCCAGCCCAUGCGGAAGGCAGGGCCCCAACUCGGCUCGCCCUCCUCCCCAGCACGGAUGAUGAACAUCCUUGAAGCUGAGGGCAAGGUAGAGGCCACGGCCCGGCUCGCUCUUCCCCACCACAAGGCUGGCGGUCAUCAUCCUGGGUGACCACCGGUGGGGGAUUGCAGCCGGGCUGCAUGAUGAAAAUCCUUGAAGCCGAGCGAUGACUGAAGAGCGCCAACCCCCACGAAGUCACGCCCCUCUAACAGCAGCAAGAAGGCGACACAGGUGCACCCCAUCUGGGGGCUCGGAAGGUGGGAAGACGCGAUAAAUGUGAGGAGUGCGAAGGCAUGGCUACUGCCCAGGGGAUCGAUCUCUUUUUAAAGGCGGAUCUCCCCACUUGCGCCCCAAAGCAUCACAGGCGAAGUCUCCCCCGACGCGCUCCAGGGUUUCCACCCUACGACACGGGGGCUAGGUCCCGCAUGUCAUACAAACUGACCCAAAACGCGAGGAGGGCGAACCGCCACACACGAAGCAUGCAACUACCCGCGGGUAAGCGCUCUCUCAUCCUCGCCGAAACUAGCGGUCGAAAGGGCGGACUGCCACGCAAGAAGCAUACAACCGCACCACGGUUGUGCUCCCUUUCGGCUUUGUCGCAUCCGGCGGUCCAGCAUGGAGGCCCGGGCCCACAUGUCAUGUAACCGGCGCACCGGUUACUACGUGCAAGGAAACCGCACCGCCACUUGCGCCAAUGCCGCGUCUUCUCGACUGCAGAACCAGUGCAGCGACUCGAAGGCAGCCCCGCGCGUGACCCAACAGUGCCAAUUAAGUGCGACGAUCAUGGGUCAGUCAGCCGCGGGGAUAGGCACGACAGUUAAUAUGACCAAAGGCGGGCCGACAGUAAUUGCAGCAACAGACGUGCGGAAGCAGCGGUCCAACCACCAACCAGGCCCUGGUCCCACCUCCAGGCUCGCAUCCUCCCCUGAAGCGGCAGGAGAGCCUCCGAGUCCUGUCCCAUAGCAUAAAGACGACGCACCCGUGUUCCGUUCCUCGAACGACUCGCGCACGCGCAACAGAUGCCCCGCGAAUCGCCCGUCCCGUCGCGUUAACUCCCUGGCAGGGCACGCGACACCUCUGGCAGGCGAAGCGGGCGCCGUUUCGUCUCCGUCAUGAUGACCGCCUCAAAAAAGGUGUGCCACAUUGUUUAAAUUUAUAUCAUGUCUUCCUUUUCCCUCUCUCUCUCUCUUGCCACAGGGAUCAGAAAAGGGGAUAUUUCGGAAGGAUCCUUCUCAGCGAAAGAAACGGGCCCCAAGCCCUUUACUGAUCAGGGGUUCAAAGGUUGCGCCCUGCGGGGUUCGGCAACCGCCUUAGAGCACCCGGGCUCCGAGCCCUUUACUGAUCAGGGGAUCGAAGGCUGGCCCCUCGGAAGGGUUCGACAGCCGCCCCAGAGCAUGCAGAGUCAGGGAUGACCCUGGGUACGUCCGUUACAUGGCCGAGCCUCGGGCUACACUCCCGAGGUACCCUAGGACAUUUCCGAGACCAGCGAGAAUGAUUUGUAAUGGAAUCCCACCGGAGGGAGGCACCGAGCCCUCGGACCCUAUCAAAUGGGUCCGGGUCCAGCAAAUCACCUGCAGGUACUUUUGGAGCGCGCCUCUGGGCCACUAGCCGACCCUUAUCGAAUGGGGCUCGGGCGUCCACUCGGAUCACCUGAUAGCAACUCACUGGAAACACCAUGUUCGGCGCCCACCGAGGGUAACAUGGCGCGUUACCCCCCCUCCUCUUUGCGGAAAGGCAACGAAGGGGCGUACAAUAAAAAGCUGAGAUAGUCCUCGAUCGUCCUCUCGCUCCGUGCAGAGGCUGCUCUCGCACCAGGCUACGACCAAAUUGUUGAUCACGUCGACAAAACAACUUGAAAACUCGGAGCCUGACCAUGCACUCGGGCUGCGGCCAGGCUGCAUGAGGGAACAACAAGGCCGACCGAGGCAUCACAAAAAGAAUUAAGACCUCAGAGGAGUCAAACCACUCCUCCGAGGCCUCGGGGGUUACAUCCGACGGGUGCGCUUGCGCGCACCCAUCGGAACAAAGUAUAACCGAGAAAGGCUGGUCCCCUUGCAAAAAAUCCGGCAGAACCUCCAAGCGAGUACCUACACUCCCUUCGAGGCUCGGGGGCUACUAUCGGGUACCGUAAUUAGGGGUACCCCCAAUGCUCCUUAACAUGGCUGGAAAACAUCCUCAAAACAGACCUUAAAGACCGGUAAGCGCGGUUCAAAGUUGAAACCUCAGGGACGCGAUCUCGUCUCGCCCGAGCCCAGCCUCGGGCAAGAACAGUAGUCCCGGACGGAUUCACACCUCACCCGAGGACCUCCUCAGGCAACGGACACACCCCCGGCUCGCCCGAGGCAAAACUCGGGUAAACUUUGUCGUGUAGCGACCUCGGCCAAAUCGCCUUACCAACCGACCGUAUCGCAUGCGCAUUUAAUGCGGGGGUCGCCUGACACGCGCGCCUCAGUCGGCAAGGUCAAAGUGACUGCGUCACUUCGCCCCUUUACUGAUCGUUCUGACAGGAAAACAACACUAUUCACCCCGUUCCGACUACUGUGCCAACCACCAGGGUAAAACUAACGACAGUAAGUCACGACCUCCCCCGAGUUCAGCCUCGGGCGCAACAGGGAGCUCUGCCUCGCCCGACCUUAGGCCUCGGCCUCGGGAGAAGGUAUCUGAAAGUGCAUUCAUCCCUUUUGUGAGUUUUGGUGAUUUGGAUAACAACACAUUUAAAGGUCUAACAAGUUUGCUAAAGUGUUGAACAGGAAAUUCAGUAUGAUGAACAUACUUGAAUAGUGUAUAAUGACAGUGAACAAAGGUUCAACACAAGGUUAAAUAACCAGUGAGACAAUGCAAAUGGAUACAAUAUGAUCUCUAUAUUCGCUUGAAUAUAUGGACAAGACCUGAGAAAUCACUAUGCAUAAAUAUGAUCAUAAUAGAGGUUGAAGUGAUUAAGAGGAUUGGUCAAGCCAAAGUGAAUAAGAUAUGAGGAACCGUGAAUUGGCUUGACCAUAUUACUAUUAGUCCAUAUAUGAAUAUAUGAGAAUCAAACUAGAGCUUGAUUGAUCUUAGCAGUUAUAUCUAGACGACAUUUAAGCAAGGUUCACAAUAUUGAAGAAAUGAUUCUCUCAAUGGAUGCUCAAUGGGAUGUGACUCAAGAAUGGCUUGAUAGGGUGAAGAUAGCAAGGAAAGGGCUUCGAGGAACUAAGCAAAGGUGAAGGCCAAGCGACGGCUUGUAGAUCGAGGUACCAUGGCUAAGGUGAAGAAGAGAGUACUUGCACUAAGUCGAUGAACUAAUCAGCUAUAAAGAGUUACAACAUGUUGAUGCAUUAGUAAGGUGACUUGAAGCCAUGAUUUGAACUCAUAUUUGGUGAAAUGGUACAAGUCACAAGGUUUGCUUUGUGUUUGCUUCAAAAGGUGAGACAAGGAUGUUAGUGAUCCUUAUGAAGCAACACCAUGGAGAAAUCACACAUGAGACACCAAUUACUCAAGGAGUUUACUUAAUUAUAUUUUAUUUAACUUGAGUAUAGGAAUCGUCGUACUAUCAAGGGGGAUCCAAAAAGAAGGUUGGUGUUGGUACUAAAGCUCAAAAUCCUUGAUCUAAAAUUUCCAUUUUACCCUGGUUUCACUUUGGUUUUCUCAAAAUCUGUGCAACAGUUCAAAAACCGGUUCAACCGGACCUAAAACCAGUUCAACCGGUUUCUGUACUAUUCCCCUCUGUCACUGCCAGUCUGCCAGUCAGAAAAAGUCGUGUGCAGAUUUUUGGAAAACCGGUUCAACCGAAUUUUGAAUCCGGUUCAACCGAAUUUGAAACCGGUUGAACCAAAUUUGAAACCGGUUCAACCGAAUUUGGGACCGGUCCAGUCUCCGGUUGAGUCCGCCAGUGAACCAAAAAUCGACUGGUGGAAUCCGGUUCAACCGGAUUUAGAACCGGUUCAACCGAAUUUCAGUCAGAUUUCCCUAACGGCCACCAGCUUUUGGGGCACCUUUAUAUACACCUCCCACACUCUUCCCCACAGUAGAGCACGCACAAAACUCCAUUUCCAACCUGAGAAACACCUCCCAGUCUCUCUCACACACCUCUUGUCUCUCCCAUUUCAAAUAUUUGGAGAGAAAUCUUUGAGUGAGAUUGAAGAGCUGUGAUUUUGGUGCUUCAUCUCUAAAUCCUUCUUGCUCUUCUUGAUUCGAGCUUUGGUAUUACAUCGAGUUCUUUGUGGAUUCAUUACUCUUGGAGCUUCUAGCUCCUAGACGACUAGGUGUCUCUUGUGAGUCUCCAAAUCUUGUGGAAGGCCACAAGAAAGUUUGUAUUACCCGCUCGUUUGAGCAAAGAUUAUUGUGUGGGCUUGACCUUUGUGGUCGGCAAAGGGAGGAUUAGGGUUGAAAGAGACCCGACUCUUUGUGGGCGCCUCAACGAGGAAGUAGGGCACCUUGGUGGUGUGACCGAACCUCGGGAUAAAUCUUGUGUCUCUUGUGUUCUUGCUCAUUGUGUUUGUUUGUGUUCUUCGUUCUCUCACCAUUGCGUGGAAGAUUUGUUUUUAUAUUUUUGAUGUGUGGAUUUUGAGAAGUGCCCUUCUCAGAUCUACUACUUUGAACCCUGUGGGUCAUUUAGAACAUCUCAUUUCCAAAGUUAACUGGGUGAAUUUCAAGAUCAAUUCAGUUUUACCCAGUUUGCUUCUAGUUUUUGUUGAAAAAGUUUUAACUUGCCUAUUCACCCCCCCUCUAGGAAACUUUCAGUAUCCGCCUCACCUGACCCCAGGCCUCAGCCUCAGCCUCGGCCUCAGGAGAAGGUCUCUGCCUCGCCCGACCUCAGCCUCGGCCUCAGGAGAAGUCUCUGCCUCGCCCGACCUCGGCCUCGGACCGACGACGCCACUGGGGAUACAUCAUUACCCUACCCCUAGCUAGCUGCCUCAGGCUACGAAGGAACAAGACCGGUGUCCCAUCUAGAUUACUCUGGUUACAGGUAAUGAUGGUUCCCUGUGUGCGUCCAUGACAUCGGUUGUUCUCAACUACUCUACGAAAGCAAAGAAACGUCAGCAGGACCCCUGCCGCACCGCCAGCUGCGCUUCUACAGGGCUCAAGUACUUCUCUGUCGGCCACGUUAGCACAUAGCUACACCCCCAUUGUACAGCUGGACCAUCUCCUUGUAUCUAUAAAAAGGGGUGUCCAGGGCCUUCCUAAGGGGGAGAGGCAGGUAGAGUGGGAGAAACGCAGAGGAGGCUAACUCAGACAGCUCAACUUAGGGCCAAACCCUCUUCCUCUCUCUCUCGCGACGCUUGUAACCCCUACUACGAGCACCCCGGUGCAAGAUAAUAUAAGCCUCAUCCUCCCUCUUGUGUUCCAUCUUGCAUCAACCCAUCUAGGCAGGGACACGCAGCGACAAAUUCACUAGUCGGUUGAGGGUCCUCGCGGGUCCGAAACACCGACACUACUUAUACUUAGUAAUUGCUAAUAAAAUUUUGACCAACUUUAAAAGCAAUGCUCAGCUUCAACCAUCCUCUUUGGUAAGCCUUACACUUCACAUGAUCUCCCACCUUUGGCAAGUUCAUGCACAUUAUUCCCCACAACUUGUUGAGUGAUGAAUAUAUGUGAGCUCACCCUUGUUGUCUCACACCCCCCACAAGUCAAGAACAAGUACAGCAGGAUGAAGCGCAUGGAGGAUGCUGUGACGAGUUCGUGAGUGACCUAGGUCGUCGUCUCCCAGUCAACUUUGGGUUAGUGGAUCAUUGUCUCCUUACGAUGUAAUUAUUUAUUUAUUUUAUACAGAACUCCUAUUAUAUAGUAAAGAUGUGACAUUUGUUUAUGUACCAUGAUUUAUCAUAUGUGUGAGACUUCGACCCAGCACAUCUGGUGAUUGUGUUCGCGCCCGGGUCCCUAAAACCUGGGUGUGACAGAAGUGGUAUCAGAGGAAUGUUGAAUGUAGGACGAAACCUAGAUAGAACUGGACAACCAUUACUUGUCUUUGUUACUCUGAUUCUUUCUGAACUUUUCUUAAUCUUUUCUCAUCUAUUUCCGCUUUACUCUGAUUAUUCUUACCUUUUCACUUCUAAAGACAAAAGUGGAUUUCACACGUUGAAGUCAUGUACCUAAAGUGACCUUUAGGAAUUGGAGACCUAAUCUUAGGAACAAAAUCAAAACAAUUUUUGCAAAAAAAAUUAUAUGCUUGAAUGUUUGUUCUUGUGAUACAUGUCUGAUUUGGAUCUUGAUUGAGUGUGAUGAGUUGUGGAGCAAUGUCCACAAAUACAUCUGCAUAUACAUAUAAGCAUAAAAAUAAAUAAAUAAAAUUCAUAAGAAAACUAAACAACCUAGAUUAUCCUCCAUUAAAGUGUAUCUAUUUUAAAUAGAUCCCUCUUAACUUAAAAAAAAUCAAAUUGUGGCUGCCUAGGGAUCAAACCUUGGAUCUAUUGAGUAGAAUGCCUAGCCUUCCACCAUCUAGCCAACAUGACUCAUGUUGAAUUGUGUACAACUUCAACUAAAACGUCUUUUGUGUUUAACCUACCGUCCACUCUGUAUGCUAACUGAGUCUAGAAAAACAUUUAUAGCUUGGCCCCUGAUCUUUCUGGAAUUUGAGACGCAGUCCAGGAAAUAAAGAAAAUAGGGAAAAGGAGUUUAGAAAUUGAUUUUUAGUUUAAAAAUAAUUGCAGAAACCCAUUUAAUUCAUGGAAAUUUCAUAUUAAAUCCAAAUGAGUUCAUUCCAAUUUCUAUAACUCUAUAAUAUUAUUUUUAUCACAUAAUACCUCUGUUUUGUCAUGAAAACAACAAUAAAAUUGAUUUCCUAAUUAAUCCUAUAUCAAAUACAUAGAAACUUUGGAAAUUCGUAACCUCCUCAUUUUAAUUCCAAAUUGAAUCGUUCCAGUUGUGUUAGUCUCGUAUGAAUAUUUACUACGCAGUAACAACAUUGAUUAUACCAUGUUUCAUACUUUUAUAAUUAGAUAUUUAUUUAUCCUAUGUUAAUUGGGUUAAUCUAUGUCUAUUGGAUUAAUUUAUUUAAUAUAUUAAUAUAGUAUUCUAACUUUGUGGUUAUACGAUGUUUGACCAUUAGUCUUGCAAACACACACUUACCUUUUUGUUUAAGCAAAAGCGUAUGGUGGUACGUGUCCAAUGACUAACGAUGUACGAGAGAAUUUCUUCUGUUAUGUGUGAAACGUGCUCUCCAAUAAUGAGAUCAUACAAAUCGUGAUAUAUAUCAAAGUCUGCAUGAUACUGAUGGUUGCAAUGUAGUGGUGAAACAGAUAGAUUAUAAAUAAAAAAAUUUAUGUAUGGCCAGAAUCACAAAUUGAUUAUGAAACAUUUUCUCAUAACGGUAUAACACAUAUUUUGUAUAUAAGUUAUCGUAGUAUACUGGUAUUAUAUAUUCCCGUUGCAACGCACGGGCAUUCAACUAUCAUGUAUAGAAGUCUGCACGGUACUGUUGGUUGCAAUGUAGUGAUGAAAUAGUUAGAUUGAAAUAACAAAAUUUAUGUAUGGCUAGGAUCACAAAUUAAUUACGAAACAUUUUCACAUAACAGUAUAACACACAUUUGUUCAUAAGUUAUCAUGAUAUUAAAUGUUUCCAUUGCAACGCACGGGCACCCACCUAUAUGUGUUUAUGCCUACAUCUAUGACAGGAAACACAUCUACUACAUCUCUCUCCAAGCUCACUUGCUACCAUUGCACAAUGCGUAGUAGUAGAUAAGUAUCACCGAUAUUCUUGAAUUAUAUUUUUGGAUGGAGGUAAUAUUAUUUAAAGAAGAGCUUUGCAUGCUAUUUCUUUUGUUUGAAUAAUGCAUUAUACUUAAAUUCCCUUUUUUGCAUGUGUGAAAUUUUUUCUUCGUAAUAUUUUUUUCCAUGGAUCAGACUUGUGAGUCAUUUUCAUAAACCAACGCCAAGCAUGAAUCCAUGUUUCCUACUUCAAACCCCGAACAAACUCCAUGAGCAGGAGGCAUUCGCGUUGUCGUCGCUCAUCGAUGACGAGAAGAAGCUUGGAGACUGUCAGUUCGACCUCUAAAAGCAGUCUUACGUGGUCGCAUGCGCCGCUGUGUACGACAAGCUCCCGCGAAGCCGCCGCUUGGACGCGGUCCAGAGCAGCUGCACCGCGCUAUCCGUCGUUAAGCAGGGGGGCCUCAUGGUUGUCGGCAACGUUGACGACUCUCGGGUUGUUCUGGACACCGCAUCCGACGACGACGCCAUCAUGCCGUCCAGCUCAUCGUCCACCUGAAACCCAACCUGCCACGUAAGUCGCUACUGACCAGACAUGAAUUCUUGUGCGCUGGGACGAUGGACGUUGCUGACGUUGUGUGAGUGUCCUCGAACAUGAUGUAUGUAGUGGAAUAACGCAUUCGGUGGUACAACGACCAGGGGUACUACCUCACUGAUGAGCCCGGGGUGCACUUCGUUUGAUAGCCCAACCAAGAGUCAUCGGUACUCGUCAUGUCGCGUGCGUUCGACGACUACUAUAUCGAGGAUUGUGGCGUCAUCUUGGCGCCGGAGGUGACACAGAGGAGGAUCGACAACAGUGACCAGUUCGUCAUCCUCGCCACCGUCAGGGUAGCUUUUGUGCCGGCCUGCCUUUAAUUCUCUUCGCAAACACAUACACACUUACCUUUUUGUUUAAGCAAGAGCAUAUGGUGGUGCGUGUCUGAUGACUAACGAUGUACGAGGGAAUUUUUCCGGCAUGUGUGGAACGUGCUCGUGCUCUCCAAUGAUGAGACCAUACAAAUCGUGGCAUAUAUCGAAGUCUGCAUGAUACUGAUGGUUGCAAUGUAGUGGUGAAAUAACUAGAUUAAAAUAACAAAAUUUAUGUAUGGCUAGGAUUACAAAUUAAUUAUGAAACAUUUUCUCAUAACAAUAUAACACAGAUUUUGUAUAUAAGUUAUCGUAGUAUACUGAUAUUAUAUAUUCCCGUUGCAACGCACGGGCAUCCAGCUAGUUGUUUAUAAGAUAAACUAGACCAGCUAAGAAUACCCCCACUAGAAUAUAUCAAGCCUAAUAGAUCCAUCUUAUCUUAAAAGACUCUCUUAUCUUGAAGAAAUCAUCUUAUCCUAACCACUUUACUUAUUUCAUCCUAAAGUAACAACUAGGAUCUAAUCCAAAAUAAUGAGAUCUUAUCUAGUCUAAUCUAGUCACACAAAUAUAACUUAAAUCUGAUCUAAUGUGAUAGAUUAAUCCAACCUAACGAAGGCUAAAGUGGAGCUAAUCUAAUGUAAGUUGCUUAACAAGAAGGAUAAUAAUGAUGAAAUAAAUGAGACUCAACUCCUAUAAAAUAUGUUUUAACUUAAUUCACUCUGCACUAAGUUAAGAAUGACCGACCAACUCGGCCUUAUGCAACUACCUUAACCAUUCGAUGGUUGUAUAACCCCUCUGUUUUAACCUAACAAAGAUUCUGACUCACCUACACCAUAUAAUUCAUCCUAUCUCAAAAGGUUCUAACAUACCCUAAUAAUAUUUAUUCUGCCCUAGUAGAUCUAUAUAACCUAAACUAGUCUAUUCUAGUCAUACCCAAUUCUACCUAAUCAAACCUAAUGUGAGUCACUCAAACAUGAUUAGCUAAUGCUGAGGAAAUACAUUAGACCCUGCUCCUAUAAACAAGUUUGAGAUCUUAGAUCAACUCGACCCUACCAAAUAUCUUGACCUAUAAAAACAGGUUACAUAACUAAUCCCAUCUAGCAUAUAGCUACUUAUUAAACCCUCUACCCAUCUGUUACCUACAGAUCUAUCCUAACCUCUUGUCCCAAACCCGGAGGUAGACACCAAAGCUUAAGAAGGAAGAGAUCAAUCUCAUUAAAGAAGAAUAGGAAUCAAGCUAGACCCCCAAAGGAAGCUCGAUUAUGCCAUAGUACACUCAUUCUAUGUCAACACUCACCUAAUAGCUAAAACAUGAUGUAGCCUUGUUUUCAUGCCAAGAAAAUUUUUAGGUAUAUAAAAAAAUUAACUGGAAGUUCCACUUAGAUAAAAAAGGAUACUAGAAUUUCAUAAAGAUAAAGUCAGCUUGAUAUGCUCAACUAAAAGGCAUUCUUAAAUAGAAUUAUAGAAUCUAAUGUGAUAUAAUCUAGUGUGAUAUAAUCUAAUGUGGUCUACUUAAACAUAUUAGUGAUACUAGUAGAAGAGAUUAGACCCUGCUAGCCAGGUGUUAACUUAACUUAGUACAUUAGACCAACUCAGCCACAUGCAUGAGAUCUAACCCAACCAAUAGAGUCAUGAUGGAUUGCAUAAUCUAUCUACCCUCACCUGACAUCAAACAAGAUUUUGACCUACAUCGUGUAGUCCAUCUCACCCAUAAAUAUUUCAACCAUAUGCCCCAACUCUGCUGAUAUACAUUAACCUCGAAUUAAUGAGACCAAGACCGAAGAAGAAAAGAUCAACAUCAACAAGGGAGGAUCUAACAGUCAAAAUGAAUCUCGAGAUGAAUCAAGACUUAAACCUUUCGGAUGAAGUCUUUUCCUUGCCAUAAUCUUUCUUACCUCAACCUAUCCAGCUUAUAACCUACAUAAUAAGUAGUUGGAUACCUAUGCUCUCCCAAUCACCCACUAUUGACUAUAAAAAAGUGAGACUCUGGAUUUUUGAACCAAUUAUAGACUAAAAGCUGAAUUACAAACCAAUCCUUUUGUACCCCUUUUCUUGCAUAUCUCGAGAAUGAGGUUUCUGUUAAGGGGUAGGAUUUGUAAAGCCCAAAAAUUGUAUCAGAGAAAAAAAAAAAUAAUAAUAAUAAUAAUAAUAAUAAUAAUAAUAAUAAUAAUAAUAAUAAUAAUAAUAAUAAUAAUGAAUAAAUAUUAUUGUGUAGGGUUUUAGGAUUAUGGAACCAUUGGAGAUUACUUGAUUUCCUUUUAUUUGUGCAUAUUCAAUUAAUGGAAUUAUAUUGGUUAAACAACAAAUAAAUAAAUAUAGAAAAAUGCAUAUCAUGCUGGAAUUCUUGUACUUUGCAUUUGUACUCACAUUUUUAGACAAGUUAAAUUUGAAAGGUAGAAUUUGUAACACCCAAAAUCUUAUUUUGCGAUUUUCUCCCAAAGAAAAUAAGUUAGAAGAAUAAAUUCCUUUCUUUGCAAAAUACAUUUCCCUAAAGAACAUAGACUGUAAUAUUAAACUUGUGGGUAGCUCGAAGCUUAUAAUUAAACAUUGAAAACUAGAGAAAACAUCAUCAAAUAUUGAACUCGUGGACUAUUCUUAAAUAAUCUCUUUGUGUUUAGGAACCUUCUUUUAGUAAAGACCAAAUUAAAGACUCUUAUACAAAUUGAUUUAUUUUAGGAGGAUAUAAUAUUUAUAAACAUCCACUAAGACAUUAAGAUGAUUAUUUUCUAGAAUAGUAUACAUUUUGUGCAUACAAGUGUUCAAAUUUAAAAGAAGUGGAUUAUUAGAUAAAGUAAGAUAAUAAAUAAAAUUGAUAAAAUUAAACUUACAUUUCAUACUGUGGUUUUAAGUGCAUAUUUAAAAUUGAGUCAAAGUUUGAAAGGUUUUGAAUCUAGUGUAAAUUUACAAAUUGAAAUAGAAAACAGUAAAAAAACAAAAGAAAAAGAGAAACCUUCAUCUGGGCCAAAUCCCAUAGCUUCGGCCCAUCCUCCCUUGGAUCCGCGCGGCCAGCGCUUCAACUGCGCGUCCGGGCGCCGACAAUCGGGCCCACCCGUCAGCUCACCUAUCUAUGAACGCCAAAGUCUGGUCGUUGCCUUGUGGGGUCGCGUUGUCAGGUCUCCCAUCUUCCUCGCGUGGCGCUGCUCGGGUUGAUCGUCCCACCAAUUUCCACCGAAAUCGGGGGAUUCUGUUACAACCGCCCGCACAGGUAGCCACCUGGUGCUUUGCCCUAUUUAAGCCGCGUCUCGGUGCCAUCCAAGGGCUUGUUCGGUUCUACCCCAAUCCAUAUGGAUUGAGGGGGAUUGAGGGAGUUUCAAUCCCUAGCAAGUCAAAAUCCCACCCAAUCCGUAUCAAUCCCCUCCAAUCCAUAUGAAUUGAAAAUAACCGAACAAGCCCCAAAGGAGUUUCGUCGAGCCGCCAUUAGUGCGGGGGGAAUGGAUCCAGUUCGCCGACAUUGCCACCCUCCCACACCACCGAUUGGUGAUUGAAUAAGGGCCUUGGUAGUUCACCUGUGCGUGUGGGUUCUCCCAAACGAGUCAAUUGGAAACAAGAAACUUCCAGGCGCGUGGAAUUUGUCGACAGAUCCUCACCAUUCGCUCGGGCCGCACUUGCCGGGGUCCAACACCACCACAUCCAUACAACUGGUAUGAAUAGCACCAAUUGUUUCGUCUUCAUCUCUCGGCACCGCGGUCUGGUGCCGCUAGGAAGGAGAAGAUCGUGCUCGCUGUUGAUAUGGUAACUGAUGUCUAGGAUUAGAGCUCAAAGUACCCUUUCACGGUUUGAAUCCCAACCGUUGGCGCGUGAUCGGGCGAAUCCGGGCCGAUCAAGGUCAAUUAAAAUCCGAACCACUGAUGAUAGAUCGGAGGGGCGAGGUCGCGUACCGGUUCACAGUUAUGAGCCAACUAAUCUGUGGUGUUGGUGGACGAUCCAACGGCCAAUAUCGUGUACCGGUUCGUGGGGCUUGGGAUCUAAUCUGGGGCGUUGAAAAUAGAUCGCACGGCCAGAAUUCUCUGAUAGCCUUCGGCCGACCCUUUUUAACAUGAGACCCUCUUCUUUUCGCAAAUAGACCCGCAGUCCAUGUUAAUUGAAAGAGCACUACAACUAGGUCCUUUCUCUUGCUGUUAGGCCCCUAAGUUCUUGGAAAAUUGUGUCCCUAGUCCAGAAAUAGUAGGAAUAUUCAUAAUUUAAAUCAGAAAAUGAUUUUCUUUGUAUAAAUAAUUCCAUAGACUUGAUUAGUCCAUAUCUAAUCCAUUUUAAUUCCUUUUUGAUCCAACUCAGUUGCAAUAAAUGCAUGAUAAUAUUGUUUAUUAUCUAGUAACCUAUUUUAGUAUGAAACAUAUGGUUAAAUUUAUGCGCUUGAUUUAUUUUGUAUCUACCACUUAAAACUUAGGAAAAUCAUAACUUGUCCACUUUAGCUCCGAAUGGACCCAUUCAAAUUGUAGUAGCUUCAUAUAAAUAUUUACUAUGCAUUAACACACAUUAAAUAGACAUACCACAUGGUUUAUAAUUAAAUAAUUAUUUAUCCUAUGUCUAGUAGAUUAAUCCAUCUAAUUAAAGAAACAUGUUUAUAAUGUGAAUAAAAGAGGAUCUUUAACUAAGACAUGACUUAUAAAUAAAGAUUAUCCUUAAUGUAUAUCUCACAUGAUCUAUAAAACCAACUAAGGCCCAGUUUUAAUUAUUUAAUCACUACAAUCUUCCGAAAGCCAUAUCCUCUUAACCGUAACUCCGAUUUUAGUGGUUCUGGAGCCCACAAUCUCGAAGCAAUGCGUAGAUUAUUAUUAUGCAGUUGUUCUUAUGUUUGGUGUGAUGUUAAUUUUUGCCUAUGCACUAUUUGUUUGUAUUGCUACGUUUAGCAGUGAGGUUACGAGUCAUCUGAAGAGCAAGUUGGUACCUGAAAUCUCAAGUCCCAGGCAAGUUGUGCCCUUGAUCACUUUUAUUUACCCAAUAAUGUUUUUUAUAAUCAUUUAUUCAUGUAUAGGCUUAAUUUUGAUGGGACCCAAUAUAUCACCCUAGUCUGGUUAUCUUUAUACCUUGUUUACCCUUGAACUAUUUGGAUAGUUUUUGCUAUUGCUCUAUAUGGUUUUGGGAUUAAUAUUACAUUAUGAUCAUGUUUCAAUUAUACUAUUGUUUUACAUAUUGUUCAUGACAAGAUCAUUAUAUUAAUUGGAACAUGGAGCUUAACUUGAGAAACUCAAACACGUGCCACCACAAGGGUGGAAUGGGACGGCCUUGGCUGACUAAUCAGGAAAGCUAAUGGAAGACUACCUUACCCGAAAGGGGCAACGGCACUAGGGGAGUAGGCGUGUAGAGAGGUUCUCGAGUUGAUUUUGCUGCGAUGGCGGUCAUACAAGGGAUUCCUACAUUGCUCUUCCUAGAAACUGUAGCGGGUUUUCGGAAGCUAGUGGAACUUUGUAAAGGCCUCAUAGUGGAUCCCUAGUCAUUCACCUCGGAAGUGUCUAAGGGCCUUGCAAACCUUGGCGACAUGGGAUACACGACUUCUGGGUACAGGGUACAACCUCUGCAGAGUGUAAAACUGGUAUACUAGCCAUGCUCGUUGUCAUGAGCAGCUCACGACUAUCGCUCGAUUAAUUUAUGGAACUAAAUUCAAUUUGUCAUAUGCAUUGGAUCGCGGUUGUUCUUAUCAAUUUUGAUCUAUAUUACUCUGGUUUGGUAUCUACUUAUACUUAGUCAUUGCUAAUAAAAUUUUGACCAUCUUUAAAAGCAAUGCUCAGCUUCAACCAUCCUCUUUGGUAAGCCUUACACUUCACAUGAGCUCCCACCUAUGGCAAGUUCAUGCACAUUAUUCCCCACAACUUGUUGACCGAUGAACAUAUGUGAGCUCACCCUUGCUGUCUCCCCCCACAGGUCAAGAAUAGGUACCGCAGGAUGAGGCGCAUGGAGGAUGCUGUGACACGUUCGUGAGUGGUCUAGGUCGUCGUCUCCUAGUCAACUUUGGGUUGCUGGAUCAUUGUCGCCUUACGAUGUAAUUAUUUAUUUAUUUUGUACAGAACUCCUAUUCUAUAGUAAGGAUGUGACAGUUGUUUCUGUACCAUGAUUCAUCAUAUGUGUGGGACUUUGUCCCAGCACACCUGGUGAUUGCGUUCGUGCCUGGGUUCCUAAAACCUGGGUGUGACAACUCUAUAUGUGUGGUGUGUUACAAGUGGCGUCUCCUGAAUGGAGAGGGGCUAAUGAGAUGCAAAUGAUGGGGUCCCUCCUAGGCCUUAUAUACACAAC
RNAcentral lists this long non-coding RNA (37008 nucleotides) under Zea mays. Its description in RNAcentral is "long non-coding RNA (ZMAY_LNC004409)". The record is from RNAcentral. Lineage: Eukaryota; Viridiplantae; Streptophyta; Magnoliopsida; Poales; Poaceae.